This 790-nucleotide ribosomal RNA is filed under the name uncultured bacterium. RNAcentral describes it as "bacterial SSU rRNA". It matches the Rfam family "Bacterial small subunit ribosomal RNA", at positions 8 to 792 of the family's 1533-position model. The record is from RNAcentral.
AGAGUUUGAUCAUGGCUCAGAUUGAACGCUGGCGGCAGGCUUAACACAUGCAAGUCGAGCGGGGGAGGUUACUUCGGUAACUGACCUAGCGGCGGACGGGUGAGUAAUGCUUAGGAAUCUGCCUAUUAGUGGGGGACAACAUUCCGAAAGGAAUGCUAAUACCGCAUACGUCCUACGGGGGAAAGCAGGGGAUCUUCGGACCUUGCGCUAAUAGAUGAGCCUAAGUCGGAUUAGCUAGUUGGUGGGGUAAAGGCCUACCAAGGCGACGAUCUGUAGCGGGUCUGAGAGGAUGAUCCGCCACACUGGGACUGAGACACGGCCCAGACUCCUACGGGAGGCAGCAGUGGGGAAUAUUGGACAAUGGGGGGAACCCUGAUCCAGCCAUGCCGCGUGUGUGAAGAAGGCCUUUUGGUUGUAAAGCACUUUAAGCGAGGAGGAGACUCCUUUAGUUAAUACCUAAAGAGAGUGGACGUUACUCGCAGAAUAAGCACCGGCUAACUCUGUGCCAGCAGCCGCGGUAAUACAGAGGGUGCGAGCGUUAAUCGGAUUUACUGGGCGUAAAGCGUGCGUAGGCGGCUUUUUAAGUCGGAUGUGAAAUCCCUGAGCUUAACUUAGGAAUUGCAUUCGAUACUGGAAAGCUAGAGUAUGGGAGAGGAUGGUAGAAUUCCAGGUGUAGCGGUGAAAUGCGUAGAGAUCUGGAGGAAUACCGAUGGCGAAGGCAGCCAUCUGGCCUAAUACUGACGCUGAGGUACGAAAGCAUGGGGAGCAAACAGGAUUAGAUACCCUGGUA